GCCUGCCAUCAUCUCCUUCAAGCCUUACACUUCACCGCCGCAGGCCACCCACCGGAAAUCGCCAGCGGUGGCGGUUGGUCCCAAAGUCCAUCGAAAACUUGACCACGCAACCUCUUUUGUCCCCCAUUCCAAAUCUACUAUUAUCUUCCUCCAAAAAUCAUCCAACCUCUCCGAAUUUCAAAUCCGAGUUUGAAGAACAUCCAACAUUUUUGUUUUCUUUUUCCUUUCUGAUUCCUUCCUCAUCCGACCUCCCUUCGACGUUGGAAAAUUCAUGAAUCUACUACCCUUAUUGUGAGGAGGUGAUUAAAUAUGGUCCUAAUUGGGUUCAGAAUGGCCGGAUUUUGGGCGAGCAAGUAAUCGACUUGCUUCUAACUUUCUUCGGGUCAACGUUUUUUCUUGACAAACUGGCUGGUACACUUCUCUUUCUUUUUCCAUGACCUCGCCUGAUAUUAAGUUAUGCCUAAAACUAUUUUUAGUUCAUAAUAGCUUAACGAUAGAUUAAUAAUUGGUUUAAUUGCAUGUGUUAAUGAUUUGUUGUCUUUUGAGUGUCUCUUUUUCAAAACUUUUUUUUGGUCGUUUGAUUCAGAGUGUGUUUGCUUAAGUCCUCGUUGAAUUCAUGUCCUAUUACUGGGUGGGAUUUCAAUUUGGGCCUUGUAGUGCAGAAGCCCAAAAACAAAAAAGGGAGAGGGUUUAAGCAUGCUGGCUGCAUAGCCCAAUUGUGGUAUUUUCUGGAAAAAAACUAAUAACAAGAGGUUAAAGAGUAUUUAAGGGAUUUUGAAUUGAAAGAAUCUUUCAUAACCACUUAGGAAGGUUCUAGAAAAGUGGAAGAAUAGGUUGCUUUAUUAAAUAGGUUUAAAUGUUGGGUUUGAAUGGAAAAAGAGAAAAUUGGGGAAGGGGUAAUAGUAAAGAAAUAAAAACAAGUCUGCUGCCCUAAAACCCUCCUAUAAGAGGCUCUUUUAAUGAUUGUUUAGGGCAGAGAAGGAGAAGAUAAAAAAUAGGGAAACAACUGGAAAUUUCUUCUGAAAAUAUUCUGCUUGUUUUCAACCUUUCUACUUUUUGCUUCUUUUUUUCAAAAAGUUUUGGAGGAAUUCUCCUUUCAAUUUCUGGUUUUUUGAGUCAAGAUAUGACCUGAUCUGAAGCUAGUGUUGAUUAUUACUGCUGCAUCUUUGUUGCUGGUUCUAUUGCUUCCUGUUGUCUCUUGUUGAGUUCAGAGAUUUAUUUCCUUAUUUUGUUUGCUGUAUCCAGAUAUGUAUGUUGAACAUCUCUUGGCUAUCGAAUCCUGAACAAGAAGCCUUGGAUCAUUUGCCUCUUCAUUCUAAAAUGUCAUAUUGACUAUGUGGAUUGACUUCAAUAUUUUGAUUUUGUUCUUGUUUUCCUUACUUUGUGUUUCUAUAUUUCCUUUUAGCUAGAUAGAAUCUAGGUUUGAAUGUAUGUGGUAAUUAUCCCAUUUUAUGUAGGAUUGAAUGUUGUAAGGAUUUUUGAAGUUUAGCUUGAUUACAUGAUUGUUAAAGGGUGAUGGCCAAAUAUGAACUGCACGUUGAUGUUUUUUGGGGAAUUACAUGAGUAUAUGGGUUUCAUUUUCUCAGGGAUUUGAUGUAAAGCUCCUUUUUAAAUUAAUGUCCUGUCAGUCAUGAGUAUCAUGUUUUGCUUCUUUUACUUUAGCUAUGAUGGUGUCAAAUUGCUAGGACUUAAGUAGUAUGAUACCAAAAUGUUUAAAUGGAUGCCAAUCAAGUUUGAAUUUGUUUGAAUAGGAAUUCAUGGGUUCAUGUAAUAGUUCAAGUCUAUUUUCUCACUAUGUGAUUAAUGCAUGAGUAUUGCUUUAGGAAAGGAAGAUGUUAUAAAGUUCGUCAAACGAUUCACUUGUAAUAUUGCCAUGCUUCAAUCUGAGUGAAACCUUUUCAUUGACUCGUUGCCUCUUAGGUCUGUUGCUAUAAAUUUGCUGUUCAUUUAUUAUCUAGUUAAAAGUGUCAUUUUGUUGCCAUUGGACCUAAAGAACAGAACAAGGCUUUAUAAAACUAAAUAAGCUAUAGGACAAUAAAGAUUUCCUUUGUUGUGGGCCAGCAGGGAGCUAGCUGGGCCCAACCCAAUUCGAAUGGAGUAGCCUGGUCCAAGCCAGGCUUGAAAGCGCCCAGUCUUUGUUGCUUUCAUUUUGGGUUUGAUGUCAAGCCCAACAGCGUUCAGCAAUUGUGAUUUUAAAUGAUGCGACAAGUUUCCUAUUUGGGCCCAACGGUUCAGAAGUUUAAAAGCUUGCGCCGAUUUUAAAUACUUUAGUUGUAAUCUAGCUUGUCAUCAAACUUUGAAUUAACCUUGAGAAUGCAUGAAUCUCGUAGUUUGCUUUAGGCACGUAUUUAAAUCAUCACAACUAUGGUUCCCAUGGCGUGGUUAUGAUACCUAAUUUCAAAUUAGUCUUAAAUAUCUGUAGUUCACUUAGUUGAAGGCUUUCCUUUAAUAAAAUUGAGGUGUGCCAUACAAUCACCUAGUCUAUGGCCCUCACAUCAAUAUCUUGACUAGUAUAGAAAAAUGCCUUGAACCCUCGUAGUUUACUUUAGGCGCGUUAGUUAAAUAAAUUAUUAUAGCUACGGGUACGGUUCCCGUAACGUAGUUGCGAUGCUUAAUUUCUAAAAAAAUGGGGGUACAUUUAUGUGACCCGGCUAUAAUUUAAUCUUGUCAAUAAAGUAAAUAUAUUGUAGAUCGUAUGUAUGGUUCUCGUGACAUGAUUCGCAAUAUGUAAUCGAAUAAUUAGUUGUAUGACAAUGGGAUUAUUAAAAGCGGGUUUAAAAAGGAUAAAAAUGCACAUAGGUUUCAAGAAUAUUUUUAAAAUCAGAUAAAUAGGCCAAUAAUAAUAGUUGAGCGACCGUGGUAAAACCACGGAACCUGGAAAUGCCUAACACUUUCUUCCAGGUUAACAAAAUUCCUUAUCCGAAUUUCUGUGUUUUGCGGACUGAAAAAACAGAGUCAAACCUUCCUCAAUUCGGGAUUUUAAACCGGUGACUUGGGACACCAAUAAAUUAUCCUAAGUGGCGACUCUGAAAAAAAUAAAUAAAUAAUCCUAUUUCGAUUGUCACUUAAAUUGGAAAAACUCCCUUUAUACCCCUCUCGGGGGUAGGAAAAAGGAGGUGUGACAGCUCUGACGACUCUGUUGGGGAGAAGAACCCAGAACUUCUCGUUCAGGGUUCAAAAAUUCAAGCUUAGAACAAUUGUUAUAUUUGGCUUUUAUUUAUUAUCUGGUUUUAUUACAUGUUUGGGCCUAAUAUGCUAAAUGCUGCUUUUUACCGCUUUGAUACUAUUUGAACUGUAUAUAAACUGCUACGAAACCCUUCUUUUCUCAUCUUCGAGGAAGUGCAUGCUGGCGUGACUUCUUUUCUGUUAGUGUCUUCCCUUAAAUUAGAAAGAGGCUCGGACAAGUUACAAAGCCGGAUGGCCUUUUGGUUCCCGGUACGUAGCCCCCCAUCGGCUCGAGUUGUCCACUCGGGUACACAAGUCUAGAACAACAUACCCAGGUUUUGAACCUAGAAUAAUUCAACCUCAUGCCGGAUCCCUAGUAGGAACGCUUAUUUGCAUCAUGUGCAUUUGACUUUGGGGACUCAACACAGGGGUUGGGUCCGUCUAGGACAUGCGCACCCAAAAAUAAAAGACCAACAUGAUGCAUUUUUAUGUGCUACCUGUGCAUUUAAUUUGUUUCGGACUGCAUGUUGACUGGCUUCUAGAUUAAGUGAGGAAAAGCAAAAAGAAAAACCAAGUGAGGGGUAUGAGAGAGAAUUUCAUCCGUUGCCCAAAAUCCGGUACCCAAAACAUCCCGAAACUCUGCUGAAAAUUUUUUAAAAAGAGAGAGAAAAAGAGUAGAAAAAUUAUUUCAAAGUGUUUCUAUUUUUCAGUCGCGUCAAAACUGGUCGAACUACGCGGGUUUGGUUCUCACUGGAUGUGGGAUACGUAGGCAACCCUCAUCGGGUCCAGCCCCGCAUUUUGAAAAUUUUGGAAAAAAUAUAUGAAGCAUCGUCAUUUUGUCGUAAAUAAAGUGGGUGAUGUAGUUCUUGUCUAAAUAGCCGAAUGUCCCAACGGGACGCCGGAAGGCUGUUUUUGCAAGAAUAGUCGCCCACUGUGUUUUGUCAAUUUUGGCCAUUUAGCGAACACAACCCUAAAAACUUCUAUUUCAAAGUGCUGAAGGGCUGUAUUCGCAAAAGUAGCCCUGAUUUCUUGAUUUUUGCAAAAAAAAAAACCUCUUUUGUCAGUUUUUCAAAUAAGAUUCACUUUGUCUUUAAACUAAUCACCUUAAUCUAGAUGUGCAGAAUGAGCACGAGUCAAAAUUUGCCAAUAAAGGUCAUGAUCAAGAUUCCGUUGGAACUACACAUGUGGUGGGAAGAUUUAGGUGGGCAAGGACGAGAUACGGUCAAUCGUUACUUGGGGGGCCCCACCGGUUUACUAAAGAUCAGGCCCAGGGGAUAUAUAAUUAAAGCACUAGUAACAUUUUGGGAUCCUACUCACAAUGUUUUGUAUUUUUUGGACUUUGAACUUACACCCACUUUGGAGGAGAUAGCGGGAUAUGAUGGGAGUACCGAUGGUCAAAGACACAAAUACCUGGUCGCUCCAAGGGUCGUUACCCCUCACAAGUUUCUAGAUUUGUUGAAAUAAGCAGGGGGUCCAGUAUGCAGAUUUGGCGGCGGGGUUUUCCACUCUACGCUUCAUAUACCAGCGGUACAGACAUGUAGGAGGGUUUGAAAAUCUGGAAAGCAUUAUCUGCAGUAAAGGGAAUCGACCAAAAUGGGAAGAGCAUAGAUGUUUCGCCUUCAUGGUAGCAUUUUAGGGUCUUCUAGUGUUUCCCAAGAAGGACGAGAAUAUUGAUCUGUGGGUAGCCGGAGUCGUCAACACUUUGAUUACUAAUGCUAAAAGCACCCUCGCACCUAUGAUAGUAUCUGAAAUAUUCCGAGCUCUCACAGCUUGCAAAGACGAAGCAGAUUAUUUCGAAGGGUGCAAUCUGUUGCUACAAAUAUGGAUGAUUGAGCAUUUAUGUCAUCGCCCUCGAUACAUGAACUAUGGGUCGACAGGAAAAAGUUGCAUAGAGGAGUUUCAUACAAGGGCCGACAGGUUUAAGAUGCCGAAAGGGGUCGCUGAUUGGAUAUCGUACCUCCGUUCCAUAACUGCUGAUAAAAUAAAGUGGACGUUGGGUUGGCUUCCUGUUGAUGAAAUUAUAUACAUGUCUGCCACCGGUCCUCACUUCCUCUUGAUGGGUCUCAAAAGUAUCCAGCCUUAUGCCCCGUACCAGAAUUUGAGACAGUUGGGAAGAUGCCAAAUAGUUCCAAAGGAUGAAGACCUUAGCACUCAUGCAGUCGAGAUCCACUCUGAUGGCCAAUUUCAUGAAGCGGCGGUUUGCCAGAUCUGGAGUGAAUGCCAGUACUUGACAGCAAACACCCGAGUGCAUGAUCUAUCCAAGGGUGAAGUCUUAUUCGGUUACCUCGCUUGGUAUAAAAGAAGUGUUGAGUUUGGAAGACCAGCCAAAAGACCCCAUCUUCAAGAAUUUGUCGAAGCGUCACAGGUACAAAGGGAUUGGUUGGCCAAAGAAAAUGAGUAUAGGGCCACUAUAUGCAGGAUGGAAAAACAAGUCAGAGAUCUUCAAUUUGAGAAUGGUUUACAAGCCGCUGCGGAUGAGGGUGAAAAGAAAAGGCUAGCCAAAGAAAAUGAUGUCUUCCAAGCCCAAAUCCAAGAGAUGAAAAUAGCCACUGAGAAGCUCGCCAGGAGUGAAAAGGAUAAGAAACUUAUACACAACCUUAGGCAAAAGGUAGGUGACUACGGAUUUGACUUGGAAAAGGCUGAAGCCUAACUAGUAUAGGCUCGAGCAAAGUUAGCUAAGAAUGCAGAGGGACGGGCAAAUUACGUUCGACAUCUGAAGGAAAAGUACGAUAAAGGAAUCAUGGGUCUGAAGAAAAGGGUCAAUGCCCUUGAGAACGAAAUGACCAAGCAGACAAGAGAUUUCAAAGCAGAAAGAGAACACUGCUAUUCCCUGAUGUCGUAGCUAGAGAAAGACUUGCAGCAGCUUCAAGAGCAAAAUCAUACAGCCGAACAAGUUUUGGGGGCCAGAUAUUAGCAGAUCGGACGGUUGCUACAAGAGAAAGGUUCAUGGGUAUAUUGCAUGCAUAAAUGAAAAUAGGGUAUGGGGAGAUUGUGAGUUAAAAAGAUAGAAAUCGGGGUGUAAGAUGAUAAAAAUCUCUCACAAAAGGGUCCUAAAAUCACAAUGCACACUUAGUGCUUGAUAAUAUACUCAAAUGAGCUAGAACCUUAAUCAUGUCUCUAAUACUUGGUUCAUCUUGUAAUUCUCAUAAAAUAGAUCAAAGUUGAUAAGAGUUCCGGAGUUGUGUAAAAAUUUAAGGAAAGCUCUAUCGAGGUAUGUAUGGCUAAAACCCCCUCUUCUUAGAAAUUGAGCUCUGUUGGUGUCUAUGCAAAUGUGGUAAGACUAGAAUUUGAUUGAUGUAUUGAUUGUUAUUUCACAUGAAUUGGUUUUGAAAUUAUAUAUAUAUAUAUAUAUAUACAUGAAAAGUGUGCCUCAAUGUGUGAAAUGUACUAUUCUAGAUAUAUAAAGAUGUGCGAAGAAUAUGAAGUAUGUGUUGAAAUGCCUAGACUUCACGUCAAGAUUAAAACUGAGAUUGUCAUGCCAACUAUGUGAAAUCUUACUUAUGCUUAUAACUUGAAUUGCUUUUGUAUGUGCCUAUGAUCCUAAAUUGCAAGGUUAACAUUGAAAGUGGAAAUGAUGUGAUAAUUGUGGCCCUAAUGCCUAUAAAUUGAUAUAUGUGAAAUAAAGAUUGAAAUGACAUGAUUAAUGAGAAAGGAACAAUGUCUUGGUAAGGCGGCCUAGCCAAUCGGGCCGUGAUCGGAUGUCAUGCCACACACAUGGUGGUAUUGUGCUAAUAUUGAAUUUCGGAAAGUGAGAAUGAGAUUGUGGUUGAGGUACAUGUCUCAAAUAAGGCAACCUAGCCGAUCGGGUCGUGAUCGGACUCCGCUCAAGAAAGCGGUGGUAUUGUGAAUGAUGAUGAGCAGUAUUAAAUGCCCCAAACUAAAGCUAUGGAAAUUAUGUGAAAGUUAUAUGAUUCUUUUAUUUGAUGAUGUGGUGUUCGGUUAAAGCUUUUGAUUGUCCCUUGUGAUUUUCUUGUUCUUGUACGAUAGUUCUUUCUAAUAAGAUGGUCUUUAGUUAUACAUACUAGUACUAUUCCAUGGUACUAACGUCCCUUUUGCCAGGGGUGCUAUAUUUUUGAAUGAAUGUAGG
This 7252-nucleotide long non-coding RNA is filed under the name Nicotiana tabacum (common tobacco). RNAcentral's name for it is "long non-coding RNA (NTAB_LNC002028)". Lineage: Eukaryota; Viridiplantae; Streptophyta; Magnoliopsida; Solanales; Solanaceae. The record is from RNAcentral.